Volvox carteri f. nagariensis is the source of this 73-nucleotide transfer RNA. It matches the Rfam family "tRNA". From Rfam's summary of the family: Transfer RNA (tRNA) molecules are approximately 80 nucleotides in length. Their secondary structure includes four short double-helical elements and three loops (D, anti-codon, and T loops). Further hydrogen bonds mediate the characteristic L-shaped molecular structure. tRNAs have two regions of fundamental functional importance: the anti-codon, which is responsible for specific mRNA codon recognition, and the 3' end, to which the tRNAs corresponding amino acid is attached (by aminoacyl-tRNA synthetases). tRNAs cope with the degeneracy of the genetic code in two manners: having more than one tRNA (with a specific anti-codon) for a particular amino acid; and 'wobble' base-pairing, i.e. permitting non-standard base-pairing at the 3rd anti-codon position. The record is from Rfam. NCBI's taxonomy places the organism in Eukaryota, Viridiplantae, Chlorophyta, Chlorophyceae, Chlamydomonadales, Volvocaceae.
GGGCCUAUGGCUUAAUGGAUAAAGCGCCGGUCUACGGAUCCGGAUAUUCCAGGUUCGAUCCCUGGUAGGCUCG